RNAcentral lists this ribosomal RNA (466 nucleotides) under Vreelandella stevensii. RNAcentral describes it as "partial 16S ribosomal RNA". It matches the Rfam family "Bacterial small subunit ribosomal RNA", at positions 338 to 795 of the family's 1533-position model. Lineage: Bacteria; Pseudomonadati; Pseudomonadota; Gammaproteobacteria; Oceanospirillales; Halomonadaceae. The record is from RNAcentral.
CCUACGGGUGGCAGCAGUGGGGAAUAUUGGACAAUGGGCGAAAGCCUGAUCCAGCCAUGCCGCGUGUGUGAAGAAGGCCUUCGGGUUGUAAAGCACUUUCAGUGGGGAAGAAAGCCUUGGGGCUAAUACCCUCGAGGAAGGACAUCACCCACAGAAGAAGCACCGGCUAACUCCGUGCCAGCAGCCGCGGUAAUACGGAGGGUGCGAGCAGUUAAUCGGAAUUACUGGGCGUAAAGCGCGCGUAGGCGGUCUGAUAAGCCGGUUGUGAAAGCCCCGGGCUCAACCUGGGAACGGCAUCCGGAACUGUCAGGCUAGAGUGCAGGAGAGGAAGGUAGAAUUCCCGGUGUAGCGGUGAAAUGCGUAGAGAUCGGGAGGAAUACCAGUGGCGAAGGCGGCCUUCUGGACUGACACUGACGCUGAGGUGCGAAAGCGUGGGUAGCAAACAGGAUUAGAUACCCGAGUAGUC